This 251-nucleotide ribosomal RNA is filed under the name uncultured bacterium. RNAcentral describes it as "partial 16S ribosomal RNA". It matches the Rfam family "Bacterial small subunit ribosomal RNA", at positions 1239 to 1500 of the family's 1533-position model. The record is from RNAcentral.
ACAGAGAGAAGCAAGACUNUGAAGAGGAGCCAAACUCAAAAACCGGUCCCAGUUCGGAUUGUAGGCUGCAACUCGCCUACAUGAAGUCGGAGUUGCUAGUAAUCGCGGAUCAGAAUGCCGCGGUGAAUGCGUUCCCGGGUCUUGUACACACCGCCCGUCACACCAUGGAAGUUGGGGGCGCCCGAAGUUGGUCGGGAAAUAGAUUACCUAAGGCGAAACCAAUGACUGGGGUGAAGUCGUAACAAGGUAUC